This 506-nucleotide ribosomal RNA is filed under the name uncultured bacterium. RNAcentral describes it as "partial 16S ribosomal RNA". It matches the Rfam family "Bacterial small subunit ribosomal RNA", at positions 29 to 523 of the family's 1533-position model. The record is from RNAcentral.
AGUGAACGCUGGCGGUAGGCCUAACACAUGCAAGUCGAACGGCAGCACAGGAGAGCUUGCUCUCUGGGUGGCGAGUGGCGGACGGGUGAGGAAUACAUCGGAAUCUACUCUGUCGUGGGGGAUAACGUAGGGAAACUUACGCUAAUACCGUAUACGACCUACGGGUGAAAGCAGGGGACCUUCGGGCCUUGCGCGAUUGAAUGAGCCGAUGUCGGAUUAGCUAGUUGGCGGGGUAAAGGCCCACCAAGGCUACGAGCCGUAGCUGGUCUGAGAGGAUGAUCAGCCACACUGGAACUUAGACACGGUCCAGACUCCUACGGGAGGCAGCAGUGGGGAAUAUUGGACAAUGGGCGCAAGCCUGAUCCAGCCAUACCGCGUGGGUGAAGAAGGCCUUCGGGUUGUAAAGCCCUUUUGUUGGGAAAGAAAUCCAGCUGGCUAAUACCCGGUUGGGAUGACGGUACCCAAAGAAUAAGCACCGGCUAACUUCGUGCCAGCAGCCGCAGUAA